This 849-nucleotide long non-coding RNA is filed under the name Homo sapiens (human). RNAcentral describes it as "long non-coding RNA NONHSAT203225.1". Lineage: Eukaryota; Metazoa; Chordata; Mammalia; Primates; Hominidae. The record is from RNAcentral.
GGAUUUCCAGGUUACAAGAGGACCCACCUGUGGGUGUCAGUGGCGCACCAUCUGAAAACAACAUCAUGCAGUGGAAUGCAGUUAUAUUUGGACCAGAAGGGACACCUUUUGAAGAUGGUACUUUUAAACUAGUAAUAGAAUUUUCUGAAGAAUAUCCAAAUAAACCACCAACUGUUAGGUUUUUAUCCAAAAUGUUUCAUCCAAAUGUGUAUGCUGAUGGUAGCAUAUGUUUAGAUAUCCUUCAGAAUCGAUGGAGUCCAACAUAUGAUGUAUCUUCUAUCUUAACAUCAAUUCAGUCUCUGCUGGAUGAACCGAAUCCUAACAGUCCAGCCAAUAGCCAGGCAGCACAGCUUUAUCAGGAAAACAAACGAGAAUAUGAGAAAAGAGUUUCGGCCAUUGUUGAACAAAGCUGGAAUGAUUCAUAAUAGACAACUGGUCUGUUAAUCUUUUUCAUCAUUGUUGUGUAUAAUUUACCUCUCAUUAGAAAGGCUAACAAAUUUUAAGUGCCACAGGUUUUAAGGAUUCUGCAGAAAAAAAAGAAAAAAGUCCUUCAGUUUAGAACCUACAAAAGCUUGUGUAUCUUGAUUAAUGUACUUUUUAUUGCAUGGUGUGAACUAAGUUAUUGCUGCAUAAAUUUGUAAUAUAUCCUGUUUGUAUUUUUUUCCAAGUGUAUAAUGUUGGUGUGGAGUUUUCAUGACAGAAUAUACACAUUUUGUAAAUCUGUACUUUUUUCAAAUAUUGAAUGCCUUAUUUUUGAAUUCUUUAGAUUUUUAAAUUGGAGAAAAGCACUUAAAGUUUUUUAUAUAUGAAUAUUACAUGUAAAGCUGUUAAAAUACAUAACUUCAGUGC